GAUGAACGCUGGCGGCGUGCCUAAUACAUGCAAGUCGAGCGAACAGACGCGGAGCUUGCGCCUCUGACGUUAGCGGCGGACGGGUGAGUAACACGUGGAUACCCUCCCUAUAAGACUGGGAUCACUUCGGGAAUCCGGAGCUAAUCCCGGAUAAUAUAUUGAACCGCAUGGUUCAAUAGUGAAAGACGGUUUUGCUGUCACUUAUAGAUGGAUCCGCGCCGCAUUAGCUAGUUGGUAAGGUAACGGCUUACCAAGGCGACGAUGCGUAGCCGACCUGCGAGGGUGGUCGGCCACACGAGAACUGAGACAGGGACCAGAGUCCUACGGGAGGCAGCAGUAGGGUACCUUCCGCAAUGGGCGAGAGCUUGACGGAGCAACGCCGCGUGAGUGAUGAAGGUCUUCGGAUCGUAAAACUCUGUUACUAGGGAAGAACAAAUGUGUAAGUAACUAUGCACGUCUUGACGGUACCUAAUAAGAAAGCCACGGCUAACUACGUG
RNAcentral lists this ribosomal RNA (497 nucleotides) under uncultured bacterium. RNAcentral describes it as "partial 16S ribosomal RNA". It matches the Rfam family "Bacterial small subunit ribosomal RNA", at positions 28 to 507 of the family's 1533-position model. The record is from RNAcentral.